CCGUGUUCAAUUUUCACAUCAUUGUGCCACUUGUGCACAUCAAAAAAGCAGUUUCUCAUUUCUUUGAACAACUUGCAAAUGCUUUGGUACAUCCAUGCAAAUGAUUAUGUACAAUUUUCUGCUGUUUUCUACAUUAUCAAUUGCUUAUGUCAUGUUGAUCAAAAUGUAUUAUAAUGGGUCUCUGUUGAAUAGUCUCACCUCCCUCAACAUUUAGGCAUUAGUUCAUUGCAUAAGUCUUAACAUGCAAAAUGGUUGAACAAGCUGUCAUAAUAUGUCAAGCAUAUUUCUAUACAUUUCCAUCAGACGUUUCUGAAUCUGUCCUGAAUUGGUAAAUUGCUCCCAGGUGAAUCUUGACUUUCUCUAACGGUGGGAAAUGUGUGAAGCAUUAGAUCAACCAAUGAUCAACCACUUUUCUGAAAUAGCUCAAAGGUGCAUCUCAUGAACCAUCAACUGGCAAGUAUAUAUAUUGCCGGAGCACAACACAAUGUUACAAUGUCUGACAAUGGAAGGACAAGGAAUUGGACGGGGUUAACAGCCAGAGAGAAGAAGAGGAAGAGGAGUGAGGCUGCGUGGCGGAGGAGUUGGGAGGCAAAACAGAGGAAGAGGCAGAAUAGGCAGAGGACAUAUGCGCGUUCCUGAUGAGAUAAGAGCUACACUUGUAGACCACAUUCUCAAUCAUGGGCUUACAAUGGCUGAGGCUGGCCGAAGGGUGCAGCCAAAUGUUGGGAGAACAACUGUGUCCUCAAUCAUUCAGACUUUUCGUUGACAGAACAGGUAUGUAAUCUAACAAUAGGCACUGUAAUGUAAUACUGUAUACUUUCUGUGAUGCUUCAUACAAUAUUGCAGUAUUCGACUUUCAUUUUACAAUAUACAGUAAGUAUACUAUAUACAGUGACAUUGUAGGUGUAGGAAGACUGUACUGUAAUUCCUACAGCACUGCAUUUCCAGUUUUCCCUAAGGAAAUUGUCGUAUGUUCACAUUUCUACUUUUUUUUUUUUUUUUAUUGUGCUCUGCAGUGCUGUCUUUUUCUUUUCUGUAUCGCUAUGACAUGGUCUGUCAUCAAAUUACAGUCUCUUGCAAUCAAUCUCCCACAUACACUGAGGUGUAACUUCCAAUUUACAAUGAUUGUCAUCAAAACUUUAGCCAUAGUUUACAUCAGAACAUCCCUCCAGAGUACACUGUUAUACUGACAACAUGACUAAGCAAUUUGACUGUCUUAUCCGUGCA
This is a non-coding RNA of Xyrichtys novacula (pearly razorfish), 1227 nucleotides long. The record is from the annotation of a GenBank genome assembly. NCBI's taxonomy places the organism in Eukaryota, Metazoa, Chordata, Actinopteri, Labriformes, Labridae.